Long non-coding RNA from Cyprinodon variegatus (sheepshead minnow), 498 nucleotides. RefSeq lists it as uncharacterized. Lineage: Eukaryota; Metazoa; Chordata; Actinopteri; Cyprinodontiformes; Cyprinodontidae. The record is from RefSeq and is a predicted model, not a curated record. The transcript is spliced from 3 exons.
CCAAAAUGGACAGCUCUGCUUGAAGAUCGAAGGACUCUGACAACAUUUUCAUCAAAUCCAUACAGUAUGAUUAACGCAGUGAUGCAGUGUUUUAUAACACUCAUUAAGGCCUUGAUCGUAUGCUUGAAACAUGGUAUUCAAAGACUGCUGGAUGCUAACUCGGUUGUCAUCAGCUGGUUAGUAUCCCCCUUCGUCCCUAAAAGAAGAUCAAGUCAAGCAGAAUCAGAGGAGUGGAAAACCAAUGAGAUCCUUCGCACGUUUCAUCCAGGAGAUGAGAAUGGGGUCAACGUUACAAUCCAAACCAGCUCACAUGCCUUCCAUGUGGACCUCCAAAGGCUUUCAGUGUGCAGCGAGUACUUCAGAGCGCUGUCCCAAUCCAGGAUGAGAGAGACGUCAGAAAGACUCAUUCAUCUGGAACAUGUGUCCUCUGACAUUUUCUACAACCUCCUUAUGUUCUGCUUCAAUAAUGAUUUUAAAGUUCCUGCAGAAGAAUUGGAG